AAAUCACUUUGGUUUGGAAUGGGUGGAUGUUCUUGUGUGGGCACACCUCAUUUUCUUUGAGAAAUAUGUCAAUGUCUUAGUGCUAUUUAAUUCAUUAUUCUGUUUUCCAGAAUCAGCACAUGCACAAAUCAGUGUGGUCAAAGAGUAGGCAUCACAGUAGAGUGUUGGAUACCUCUGUCAUCAGCUCUGCCACCACAUUAGCGGGAUCUCCUGUAAUAGCCUAGUCUUCUGCAGUGGAAAGAUGGAGAGAAGGCACAAGGCAGACCCGGGGUCUCCAGGCCCAUGUGCUGUCCUCUUGGCCACAUACAGCACCAUGCAGAAACAUCAACAACAUUUGUCUGAGUUGUCAGAGGGAGGCUCUUGCUGGCUCUCCGUGAGCUGCCUUUGAACAACGUUUCACACAAGGCGCUCUCCUGCUCCCAUGCCAAGAAGCAAGGAGCCUGGGGGCCUCCGAGGGCCACCAGAAGAAGUUGCCACCGGGUGUAGUGGAAAAUGUCUUGGCUGCUAUUACUGGAGAGAAUUUAUUACCCAAUAAUAAACAGCUAUUCACAGCUAUUCCA
Molecule: long non-coding RNA, 560 nt
Filed under: Phasianus colchicus (ring-necked pheasant)
Lineage: Eukaryota; Metazoa; Chordata; Aves; Galliformes; Phasianidae
Description: lncRNA (ENSPCLG00000002601.1)
Source: RNAcentral